Molecule: ribosomal RNA, 468 nt
Filed under: uncultured bacterium
Lineage: Bacteria
Description: partial 16S ribosomal RNA
Rfam family: Bacterial small subunit ribosomal RNA
Source: RNAcentral
GACGAACGCUGGCGGCGUGCUUAACACAUGCAAGUCGAACGGAAAGGCCCUGCUUUUGUGGGGUGCUCGAGUGGCGAAUGGGUGAGUAACACGUGAGUAACCUGCCCUUGACUUUGGGAUAACUUCAGGAAACUGGGGCUAAUACCGGAUAGGAGCUCCUGCUGCAUGGUGGGGGUUGGAAAGUUUCGGCGGUUGGGGAUGGACUCGCGGCUUAUCAGCUUGUUGGUGGGGUAGUGGCUUACCAAGGCUUUGACGGGUAGCCGGCCUGAGAGGGUGACCGGGCAAAUUGGGACUGAGAGACGGACCAGAAUCCUACGGGAGGCAGCAGUGGGGAAUAUUGCACAAUGGGAGGAAGCCUGAUGCAGAAACGCCGCGUGCGGGAUGACGGCCUUCGGGUUGUAAACCGCUUUCGCCUGUGACGAAGAGUGAGUGACGGUAAUGGGUAAAGAAGCACCGGCUAACUACGUG